AUUUGGCGGACGGGUGAGUAACACGUACAUAACUUACCCUCAAGAGGGGGAUAGCCUUGGGAAACUGAGCGUAAUACCCCAUAGUAUUAUUGAACGGCAUCGUUUGAUAAUUAAAGCUACGGCGCUUGAGGAUAGAUGUGCGUCUGAUUAGCUAGUUGGUAAGGUAACGGCUUACCAAGGCGACGAUCAGUAGGGGGCGUGAGAGCGUGGCCCCCCACACGGGUACUGAGACACGGACCCGACUCCUACGGGAGGCAGCAGUAAGGAAUAUUGGUCAAUGCCCGGAAGGGUGAACCAGCCAUGCCGCGUGAAGGAUGACUGCCCUCUGGGUUGUAAACUUCUUUUGGAUGGGACGAAAAAACGGGAUUUAUCCUGGACUGACGGUACCAUCAGAAUAAGCACCGGCUAACUCCGUGCCAGCAGCCGCGGUAAUAAU
RNAcentral lists this ribosomal RNA (436 nucleotides) under uncultured bacterium. Its description in RNAcentral is "bacterial SSU rRNA". It matches the Rfam family "Bacterial small subunit ribosomal RNA", at positions 93 to 526 of the family's 1533-position model. The record is from RNAcentral.